AGCAGCCGCGGUAAUUCCAGCUCCAAUAGCGUAUAUUAAAGUUGUUGCAGUUAAAAAGCUCGUAGUUGAAUUUCGGGGUCAGCAGGUUGGUCGUGCCAAUGGUAUGCACUGGCCUUGCUGAUUCCUCCCUCUUGAUGAGCCGUAAUGCCAUUAAUUUGGUGUUGCGGGGAAUCAGGACUGUUACUUUGAAAAAUUAGGGUGUUUAAAGCAGGCAAGCGCUUGAAUACAUUAGCAUGGAAUAAUGAAAUAGGACGUUCGAUCCUAUUUUGUUGGUUUCUAGGAUUGACGUAAUGAUUAAUAGGGAUAGUUGGGGGCAUUAGUAUUCAAUUGUCAGAGGUGAAAUUCUUGGAUUUAUUGAAGACUAACUACUGCGAAAGCAUUUGCCAAGGAUGUUUCAUUAAUCAAGAACGAAAGUUAGGGGAUCGAAGACGAUCAGAUACCGUCGUAGUCUUAACCAUAAACUAUGCCGACUAGGGAUCGGAUGAUGUUAAUUUUUAAUGACUCU
RNAcentral lists this unclassified non-coding RNA (505 nucleotides) under uncultured Glomus. RNAcentral describes it as "SSU rRNA". It matches the Rfam family "Eukaryotic small subunit ribosomal RNA", at positions 569 to 1078 of the family's 1831-position model. Lineage: Eukaryota; Fungi; Glomeromycota; Glomeromycetes; Glomerales; Glomeraceae. The record is from RNAcentral.